AUUAGUCGGCGGACGGGUGAGUAAUGCCUAGGAAUCUGCCUGGUAGUGGGGGACAACGUUUCGAAAGGAACGAAUACCGCAUACGUCCUACGGGAGAAAGCAGGGGACCUUCGGGUUGCGCUAUCAGAUGAGCCUAGGUCGGAUUAGCUAGUUGGUGAGGUAAUGGCUCACCAAGGCGACGAUCCGUAACUGGUCUGAGAGGAUGAUCAGUCACACGAACUGAGACGGUACCAGUACGGUCCAGACUCCUACGGGAGGCAGCAGUGGGGAAUAUUGGACAAUGGGCGAAAGCCUGAUCCAGCCAUGCCGGUGAAGAAGGUCUUCGGAUUGUAAAGCACUUUAAGUUGGGAAGCCAGUCGGUGUAGAGGUACGUUUAAUACUCUGCAUUUUGACGUUACCGACAGAAUAAGCACCGGCUAACUCUGUGCCAGCAGCCGCGGUAAUACAGAGGGUGCAAGCGUUAAUCGGAAUUACUGGGCGUAAAGCGCGCGUAGGUGGUUCGUUAAGUUGGAUGUGAACCCGGGCUCAACCUGGGAACUGCAUCCAAAACUGGCGAGCUAGAGUAUGGUAGAGGGUGGUGGAAUUUCGUGUGUAGCGGUGAAAUGCGUAGAUAUAGGAAGGAACACCAGAUUAGUCCUGAAGGCGACCACCUGAGGUCAGACUGAUACUGACACUGAGGUGCGAAAGCGUGGGGAGCAAACAGGAUUAGAUACCCUAGUCCACGCCGUAAACGAUGUCAACUAGCCGUUGACCAGUAGCCUUGAGCUCUUAGUGGCGCAGCUAACGCAUUAAGUUGACCGCCUGGGGAGGCCGCAAGGUUAAAACUCAAAUGAAUUGACGGGGGCCCGCACAAGCGGUGGAGCAUGUGGUUUAAUUCGAAGCGCGAAGAACCUUACCAGGCCUUGACAUCCAAUGAACGGGACUUUUUCCAGAGAUGGAUUGGUGCCUUCGGGAACAUUGAGACAGGUGCUGCAUGGCUGUCGUCAGCUCGUCGUGAGAUGUUGGGUUAAGUCCCGUAACGAGCGCAACCCUUGUCCUUAGUUACCAGCACGUAAUGGUGCUCUAAGGAGACUGCCGGUGACAAACCGGAGGAAAGGAUCAGUGGUGGGGAUGACGUCAAGUCAUCAUGGCCCUUACGGCCUGGGCUACACGGUACGAUCAACGUGCUACAAUGGUCGGUACAAAGGGUUGCCAAGCCGCGAGGUGGAGCUCCCAUAAAACCGAUCGUAGGAUCGCAGUCUGCAACGGGUACGUUCGACUGCGUGAAGUCGGAAUCGCUAGUUUAGUUACAGU
This 1293-nucleotide ribosomal RNA is filed under the name Pseudomonas sp. IGCAR-23/08. RNAcentral's name for it is "bacterial SSU rRNA". It matches the Rfam family "Bacterial small subunit ribosomal RNA", at positions 90 to 1353 of the family's 1533-position model. The record is from RNAcentral. Lineage: Bacteria; Pseudomonadati; Pseudomonadota; Gammaproteobacteria; Pseudomonadales; Pseudomonadaceae.